CGACCUCGAGCGCAGCUUGGUGUUGAGGACUGUCGCCCCGCGGCAUCCUUUAAAAGCAUUGGCGGCAGCGCAGCUCAAUCGCAACAAAAUGCGUGCAAAGCUGUUGAUUGUUUGCCAUGACACCACCCUUCACAGGGUUUUUUACA
This 146-nucleotide unclassified non-coding RNA is filed under the name uncultured fungus. RNAcentral's name for it is "sequence contains ITS2". Lineage: Eukaryota; Fungi. The record is from RNAcentral.